GCAAGUCGAACGAACCUUUUAGGUGAGUGGCGCACGGGUGCGUAACACGUGGGAAUAUACACUUCGGUAAGGAAUAACACAGAGAAAUUUGUGCUAAUACCUUAUAAUGACUCCGGUCCAAAGAUUUAUCGCCGAGGGAUUAGCCCGCGCUAGAUUAGUUUGUUGGUGAGGUAAAAGCUCACCAAGACGACGAUCUAUAGCUGGUCUUAGAGGAUGAUC
RNAcentral lists this ribosomal RNA (219 nucleotides) under uncultured bacterium. RNAcentral's name for it is "partial 16S ribosomal RNA". It matches the Rfam family "Bacterial small subunit ribosomal RNA", at positions 57 to 305 of the family's 1533-position model. The record is from RNAcentral.